This 76-nucleotide small RNA is filed under the name Xanthomonas hortorum. RNAcentral describes it as "sX9 sRNA". It matches the Rfam family "Xanthomonas sRNA sX9". The record is from RNAcentral. Lineage: Bacteria; Pseudomonadati; Pseudomonadota; Gammaproteobacteria; Lysobacterales; Lysobacteraceae.
AUGCACCACGCAUGCACCGCGCUUGCUCCGCGCCUUAAACAUCCACCUGACGACCGCUCGCUACGUUGUGUCAUCG